This 252-nucleotide ribosomal RNA is filed under the name uncultured bacterium. RNAcentral describes it as "partial 16S ribosomal RNA". It matches the Rfam family "Bacterial small subunit ribosomal RNA", at positions 525 to 776 of the family's 1533-position model. The record is from RNAcentral.
ACGGAGGGUGCAAGCGUUGCUCGGAAUUACUGGGCGUAAAGGGCACGCAGGCGGCCCAUCAAGUCGAGUGUGAAAUCCCUGGGCUCAACCCAGGAACUGCAUUCGAAACUGAUGGGCUUGAGUCCGAGAGAGGGUGGUGGAAUUCCUGGUGUAGAGGUGAAAUUCGUUGAUAUCAGGAGGAACACCGGCGGCGAAGGCGGCCACCUGGCUCGGUACUGACGCUCAUGUGCGAAAGCGUGGGUAGCAAACAGG